AGUGAACGCUGGCGGUAGGCCUAACACAUGCAAGUCGAACGGCAGCACAGUAAGAGCUUGCUCUUACGGGUGGCGAGUGGCGGACGGGUGAGGAAUACAUCGGAAUCUACUUUUUCGUGGGGGAUAACGUAGGGAAAAUUACGCUAAUACCGCAUACGACCUACGGGUGAAAGCAGGGGAUCUUCGGACCUUGCGCGAUUGAAUGAGCCGAUGUCGGAUUAGCUAGUUGGCGGGGUAAAGGCCCACCAAGGCGACGAUCCGUAGCUGGUAUGAGAGGAUGAUCAGCCACACUGGAACUGAGACACGGUCCAGACUCCUACGGGAGGCAGCAGUGGGGAAUAUUGGACAAUGGGCGCAAGCCUGAUCCAGCCAUACCGCGUGGGUGAAGAAGGCCUUCGGGUUGUAAAGCCCUUUUGUUGGGAAAGAAAAGCAGCAGGUUAAUACCCCGCUGUUCUGACGGUACCCAAAGAAUAAGCACCGGCUAACUUCGUG
RNAcentral lists this ribosomal RNA (492 nucleotides) under uncultured bacterium. RNAcentral's name for it is "partial 16S ribosomal RNA". It matches the Rfam family "Bacterial small subunit ribosomal RNA", at positions 29 to 507 of the family's 1533-position model. The record is from RNAcentral.